Molecule: ribosomal RNA, 438 nt
Filed under: Ophiostoma pallidulum
Lineage: Eukaryota; Fungi; Ascomycota; Sordariomycetes; Ophiostomatales; Ophiostomataceae
Description: eukaryotic LSU rRNA
Rfam family: 5.8S ribosomal RNA (bases 84-237)
Source: RNAcentral
CCCCCCCCCCAGGGGCGGCGAGCCGCCCGAACCUAUUAAAAAAGCACAUGAGAGCCCGUCUGAGCAAACAAACAAAUAAUUAAAACUUUCAACAAUGGAUCUCUUGGCUCUGGCAUCGAUGAAGAACGCAGCGAAAUGCGAUACGUAAUGUGAAUUGCAGAAUUCAGCGAACCAUCGAAUCUUUGAACGCACAUUGCGCCUGCCAGCACCCUGGCAGGCAUGCCUGUCCGAGCGUCAUUUCCCCCCUCAGCGCGCACCGCGCUGGUGUUGGGGCACCUCCGCCUGGCGGAGGGCCCCCAAAACCAGUGGCGGGCCCGGCUGGUCGGCUCCGAGCGCAGUACUGAACGCACCGUUCUCCCCUCGCUCAGCAGCCCCCGCCGGCGCCCUGCCAGCCCGGCGCGCGCCCCCGCGGCGCGCCCACCCCCUUCUUGCAAGGUU